RNAcentral lists this transfer RNA (96 nucleotides) under Gammaproteobacteria bacterium. RNAcentral describes it as "tRNA-Sec". It matches the Rfam family "Selenocysteine transfer RNA". The record is from RNAcentral. Lineage: Bacteria; Pseudomonadati; Pseudomonadota; Gammaproteobacteria.
GGAAGGGAAUCGUCUCCGGUGGGGCGGCUGGACUUCAAAUCCUGUUGGGGCAGCGAGCCUGUCCCGGGUCGGUUCGACUCCCACUCCCUUCCGCCA